GACGAACGCUGGCGGCGUGCUUAACACAUGCAAGUCGAACGGAAAGGCCCCUUUGGGGGUACUCGAGUGGCGCACGGGUGAGUAACACGUGAGUAACCUGCCCUUGACUUCGGGAUAACUUCAGGAAACUGGGGCUAAUACCGGAUAGGAAUCCUUGCUGCAUGGUGGGGGUUGGAAAGCUUCGGCGGUUUUGGAUGGACUCGCGGCUUAUCAGCUUGUUGGUGGGGUAGUGGCUUACCAAGGCUUUGACGGGUAGCCGGCCUGAGAGGGCGACCGGCCACAGUGGGUCUGAGAAACGGCCCAGACUCCUCCGGGAGGCAGCAGUGGGAAACAUUGCACAAUAGGCGGAAGCCUGAUGCAGCAACGCAGCGUGCGGGAGGACGGCCUUCGGGUUGUAAACCGCUUUCAGCAGGGGCGAAGCUUGUGGUGACGGUACCUGCAGAAGAAGCACCGGCUAACUACGUG
Molecule: ribosomal RNA, 465 nt
Filed under: uncultured bacterium
Lineage: Bacteria
Description: partial 16S ribosomal RNA
Rfam family: Bacterial small subunit ribosomal RNA
Source: RNAcentral